Molecule: microRNA precursor, 106 nt
Filed under: Marmota monax (woodchuck)
Lineage: Eukaryota; Metazoa; Chordata; Mammalia; Rodentia; Sciuridae
Source: RNAcentral
ACUUACUAAUCAUCGAGGGAUCCUGUUAAAAUGUAGCCUCUGAUUUAGUAGGCCGAAGCUGGACCUGAUAUUCUACAUUUUUAACAAGCUCCUAGGUGUGGCCAAU